AGAGUUUGAUCCUGGCUCAGGAUGAACGCUGGCGGCGUGCUUAACACAUGCAAGUCGAACGAAGCAUUUAAGACAGAUUACUUCGGUUUGAAGUCUUUUAUGACUGAGUGGCGGACGGGUGAGUAACGCGUGGGUAACCUGCCUCAUACAGGGGGAUAGCAGCUGGAAACGGCUGGUAAUACCGCAUAGGCGCACAGUACCACAUGGUACAGUGUGAAAAACUCCGGUGGUAUGAGAUGGACCCGCGUCUUAUUAGCUUGUUGGCGGGGUAACGGCCCACCAAGGCGACGAUCAGUAGCCGACCUGAGAGGGUGACCGGCCACAUUGGGACUGAGACACGGCCCAGACUCCUACGGGAGGCAGCAGUGGGGAAUAUUGCACAAUGGAGGAAACUCUGAUGCAGCGACGCCGCGUGAGUGAAGAAGUAGUUCGCUAUGUAAAGCUCUAUCAGCAGGGAAGAUAGUGACGGUACCUGACUAAGAAGCCCCGGCUAAAUACGUGCCAGCAGCCGCGGUAAUACGUAUGGAGCAAGCGUUAUCCGGAUUUACUGGGUGUAAAGGGAGUGUAGGUGGCCAGGCAAGUCAGAAGUGAAAGCCCGGGGCUCAACCCCGGGACUGCUUUUGAAACUGCAGGGCUAGAGUGCAGGAGGGGCAAGUGGAAUUCCUAGUGUAGCGGUGAAAUGCGUAGAUAUUAGGAGGAACACCAGUGGCGAAGGCGGCUUGCUGGACUGUAACUGACACUGAGGCUCGAAAGCGUGGGGAGCAAACAGGAUUAGAUACCCUGGUAGUCCGCACGGUAAACGAUGGAUGCCCGCUGUUGGUCUGAAUAGGUCAGCGGCCAAGCGAAAGCAUUAAGCAUCCCACCUGGGAAGUACGCCGGCAACGGUGAAACUCAAAGGAAUUGACGGGGGCCCGCACAAGCGGAGGAACAUGUGGUUUAAUUCGAUGAUACGCGAGGAACCUUACCCGGGCUUGAAUUGCAGAGGAAGGAUUUGGAGACAAUGACGCCCUUCGGGGCCUCUGUGAAGGUGCUGCAUGGUUGUCGUCAGCUCGUGCCGUGAGGUGUCGGCUUAAGUGCCAUAACGAGCGCAACCCCUCUCCUUAGUUGCCAUCAGGUUAAGCUGGGCACUCUGGGGACACUGCCACCGUAAGGUGUGAGGAAGGUGGGGAUGACGUCAAAUCAGCACGGCCCUUACGUCCGGGGCUACACACGUGUUACAAUGGCAGGUACAGAGAGACGGUCCCUUGCAAAACGGAUCAAAUCCUUAAAGCCUGUCUCAGUUCGGACUGGGGUCUGCAACCCGACCCCACGAAGCUGGAUUCGCUAGUAAUCGCGCAUCAGCCAUGGCGCGGUGAAUACGUUCCCGGGCCUUGUACACACCGCCCGUCAAGCCAUGAAAGCCGGGGGCGCCUAAAGUCCGUGACCGUAAGGAGCAGCCUAGGGCGAAACUGGUAAUUGGGGCUAAGUCGUAACAAGGUA
Molecule: ribosomal RNA, 1479 nt
Filed under: metagenome
Description: bacterial SSU rRNA
Rfam family: Bacterial small subunit ribosomal RNA
Source: RNAcentral